Molecule: ribosomal RNA, 395 nt
Filed under: uncultured bacterium
Lineage: Bacteria
Description: bacterial SSU rRNA
Rfam family: Bacterial small subunit ribosomal RNA
Source: RNAcentral
GUGUCAGCCGCCGCGGUAAUACGGAGGGUGCAAGCGUUAAUCGGAAUUACUGGGCGUAAAGGGUGCGUAGGUGGUUGAUUAAGUUAUCUGUGAAAUUCCUGGGCUCAACCUGGGCGUGUCAGAUAAGACUGAUUGACUUGAGUAUGGGAGAGGGUAGUGGAAUUUCCGGUGUAGCGGUGAAAUGCGUAGAGAUCGGAAGGAACACCAGUGGCGAAGGCGGCUACCUGGCCUAAUACUGACACUGAGGCACGAAAGCGUGGGGAGCAAACAGGAUUAGAUACCCUGGUAGUCCACGCUGUAAACGAUGUCAACUAGCUGUUGGUUAUAUGAAUAUAAUUAGUAGCGAAGCAAACGCGAUAAGUUGACCGCCUGGGGAGUACGGUCGCAAGAUUAAA